Molecule: ribosomal RNA, 589 nt
Filed under: uncultured bacterium
Lineage: Bacteria
Description: bacterial SSU rRNA
Rfam family: Bacterial small subunit ribosomal RNA
Source: RNAcentral
GAAAUCGGGAUUAAUACUCCAUAAUAUCCAUUUAUCUCAUGUUAGUUGGAUUAAAGCUCCGGCGGUUGAAGAUGGGCAUGCGUGACAUUAGUUUGUUGGUGAGGUAACGGCUCACCAAGACUACGAUGUCUAGGGGUUCUGAGAGGAUUUUCCCCCACACUGGUACUGAGACACGGACCAGACUCCUACGGGAGGCAGCAGUAAGGAAUAUUGGGCAAUGGACGAAAGUCUGACCCAGCCAUGCCGCGUGCAGGAUGACAGCCCUACGGGUUGUAAACUGCUUUUAUACGGGAAGAAUCCCCCUCACGUGUGAGGGGUUGACGGUACCGUACGAAUAAGCAUCGGCUAACUCCGUGCCAGCAGCCGCGGUAAUACGGAGGAUGCAAGCGUUAUCCGGAUUUAUUGGGUUUAAAGGGUGCGUAGGCGGAAUGGUAAGUUAGUGGUGAAAUCCCCCGGCUCAACCGGGGAACUGCCAUUAAUACUGCCGUUCUUGAGUAUAGUUGAAGUGGGCGGAAUGUAUCAUGUAGCGGUGAAAUGCUUAGAUAUGAUACAGAACACCGAUAGCGUAGGCAGCUCGCUAAACUAUAAC